RNAcentral lists this ribosomal RNA (495 nucleotides) under uncultured bacterium. RNAcentral's name for it is "partial 16S ribosomal RNA". It matches the Rfam family "Bacterial small subunit ribosomal RNA", at positions 30 to 507 of the family's 1533-position model. The record is from RNAcentral.
UGAACGCUGGCGGCGUGCCUAAUACAUGCAAGUCGAGCGAACAGAUGAGGAGCUUGCUCCUCUGACGUUAGCGGCGGACGGGUGAGUAACACGUGGAUAACCUACCUAUAAGACUGGGAUAACUUCGGGAAACCGGAGCUAAUACCGGAUAAUAUAUUGAACCGCAUGGUUCAAUAGUGAAAGACGGUUUUGCUGUCACUUAUAGAUGGAUCCGCGCCGCAUUAGCUAGUUGGUAAGGUAACGGCUUACCAAGGCAACGAUGCGUAGCCGACCUGAGAGGGUGAUCGGCCACACUGGAACUGAGACACGGUCCAGACUCCUACGGGAGGCAGCAAUAGGGAAUCUUCCGCAAUGGGCGAAAGCCCGACGGAGCAACGCCGCGUGAGUGAUGAAGGUCUUCGGAUCGUAAAACUCUGUUAUUAGGGAAGAACAAAUGUGUAAGUAACUAUGCACGUCUUGACGGUACCUAAUCAGAAAGCCACGGCUAACUACGUG